Molecule: ribosomal RNA, 468 nt
Filed under: uncultured bacterium
Lineage: Bacteria
Description: partial 16S ribosomal RNA
Rfam family: Bacterial small subunit ribosomal RNA
Source: RNAcentral
GAUGAACGCUGGCGGCGUGCCUAACACAUGCAAGUCGAACGGUGAAGGCGGAGCUUGCUCUGCUGGAUCAGUGGCGAACGGGUGAGUAACACGUGAGCAAUCUGCCCCUGUCUCUCGGAUAAGCGCUGGAAACGGCGUCUCAUACUGGGUACGAGCUGCGAAGGCAUCUUCAGCAGCUGGAAAGGACUUCGGUCAGGGAUGUGCUGGCGGCCUAUCAGCUUGUUGGUGAGGUAACGGAUCACCAAGCCGUCGACGGGUAGCCGGCCUGAGAGGGUGACCGGGCACACUGGGACUGCGACACGGACCAGACUCCUACGGGAGGCAGCAGUGGGGAAUAUUGCAGAAUGGGCGAAAGCCUGUUGCAGAAAUCCCGGGUGAGUGACGCCGGCCUACGGGUUGUGAACCUCUUUUUGCGUGGAAGUAGCGAAAGUGACGGUACCUGCAGAGAAAGCGCCGGCUAACUACGUG